This 480-nucleotide ribosomal RNA is filed under the name uncultured Latescibacterota bacterium. Its description in RNAcentral is "bacterial SSU rRNA". It matches the Rfam family "Bacterial small subunit ribosomal RNA", at positions 901 to 1382 of the family's 1533-position model. The record is from RNAcentral. Lineage: Bacteria; Pseudomonadati; Candidatus Latescibacterota.
UUAAAUGAAUUGACGGGGCCGCACAAGCGGUGGAGCAUGUGGUUUAAUUCGAAGCAACGCGAAGAACCUUACCAGGUCUUGACAUCCCCUGACAACCAAGAGAUUGGCGUUCCCCUUCGGGGGACAGGGUGACAGGUGGUGCAUGGUUGUCGUCAGCUCGUGUCGUGAGAUGUUGGGUUAAGUCCCGCAACGAGCGCAACCCUUAUCCCUAGUUGCCAUCAGGUAAAGCUGGGAACUCUGGGGAGACUGCCGGUGAUAAACCGGAGGAAGGCGGGGAUGACGUCAAGUCCUCAUGGCCCUUACAUCCCGGGCUACACACGUGCUACAAUGGCAGGUACAGAGGGUUGCGAAGCCGCGAGGUGGAGCGAAUCCCAGAAAACCUGUCUCAGUCCGGAUUGAAGUCUGCAACUCGACUUCAUGAAGGCGGAAUCGCUAGUAACCGCGAAUCAGCAGGUCGCGGUGAAUACGUUCCCGGGCCUU